This 1600-nucleotide long non-coding RNA is filed under the name Amborella trichopoda. RNAcentral describes it as "long non-coding RNA (ATRI_LNC000766)". Lineage: Eukaryota; Viridiplantae; Streptophyta; Magnoliopsida; Amborellales; Amborellaceae. The record is from RNAcentral.
UUUAAAGCCUCGGCUUUAUAUAAACUUUUUUUUAUUUGGGGUAUUACGUGUGCCGCAUAAAUUAUGCCGAAAAACAUUUUGUUUUUCCGAACUUUUUGUUGUACUCCGCCAAUCGAUUCAGCCCUUGGGAUUCUCCUUUCUCCACUUUUGCCCCGCCAUCGAAUUUCUAGGUUUUGCUUUUUUUUGUUUGACAAUUGAGGGCUUGUCUUUUUUUUUUCACCAUAUUUCUUACUUGCAUUCAAAUCAACACAUUUACAGAGAUUUAUUAACUUCAUUUUCAAAUUAUACAUCAGCCUCGACUUUAACCCAUGAAAGUUGAAAGAAGACAAUGAUGGCUGGUGAGCUUUAUAUAUGAAUUUUGGAAGGCUGUAAUUACAGUGAAGAAAACUAGAUUUUUUCAAGCUUCCUGUUCAUAUAAAUUAUAAGGAAGCACCGGAGAGUACGGCUUCAUCCCUGGCCUUUAAAAAGAACAGGGCGGCUUCAUCUUCGGCUUUUGGGUCCCGAUCCAGGUAAAACUUUGUUUGUUUUGCUUUGAUAAUCGGUUUGUAGGGAUGUUCAUUGCUGUUCUUGUUUUUUGAACUUGUUUUUUGAACUGACUUUUCAUGUUUUUAAGCUAUGGAUGUUGAUGUUUGGUGGUUUGAAGCUUCAGAUUAGGGUUUAUGGAGUUUCUCUUGUUAGAUAGGGAAUUUUGAGUCGGGUUGGCUAAGGUUUUGUUGUUUUCUGAUUUCAUGUUGCUUUGAAGCUGGUUUUUCUAUUUCUGUGUUUUUGAGCUUCUGAUCAUGGUUUAUGGAAUUUAUAGGGUUAGUAGAUAGGGAGGUUUUUCUUAUAUCUGGAUUAAUGUUUGUUGUCUUUUAUGCUUUUGUGCUUCUGAUAGUUAUUUCUGCUUUUUCUACAGCUAGAAAGGAAUUUUUAGUAGGUUUGAUUCAAAUUUUGGUCUUUUGUUUUUUAGUUGGAAUUUUUAUUUAUCUUGGAAUCUGAAAUUGUUUUGCGUCAAGCUUCUGAUUGUGGCAUACGUGUUUCAUAGGAUUUAAAGCCAUGAUUUUGAACUGCUUUGUUUUCAAUUUUAUUUUUUUUGGAAUUUUGAUUAAUUUUUAUGGAUUUUCAGAGUUAGAAAAGGGAUUGUGUCUGCGUUUGUUCUCAAAUGUCGUCUCAGUCUCUUUUGAAGCCUUGUGUGUUGCCAUUUUCCAGCGUAUGUCUAUGAUUAAUGGGAUUUCUGGGGUUAGUAACAGGAGAAAUAAAAUUGAUUUGUUCUAAUCAUUGCUUUCUCUUCUGGUUUUUAUGUUUUUUCAUGAGACAUGGCUGAUGAAUUCAGUCUUUUUGCCUUUUUGCUUAUUAUUUUGGGAUAUCAAGUCUUAUACUAAGCUGAUUGUACAUAAAUGCUUAUUAUUAUUUUUAUUGCAAUCUUGAUUUGUUCUGAGUAAAGGCCACAUAUGAACUUAAUUCCUUUCGGAGCUACUGGUUGAAAUCUGUUUCCUCUUUAUGUUGUCAUCAGAAUCUAAGUUGAUUUGCUUACAGAAUAUUUAUUUUCUGUACGCGUUUGGGGUUUCUUCUGUUAUAUUACCCAAAGCUUAGAAGCCGGAUUAACAGAGUUCUUCAUUUU